This 328-nucleotide ribosomal RNA is filed under the name uncultured Chlorobiota bacterium. RNAcentral describes it as "bacterial SSU rRNA". It matches the Rfam family "Bacterial small subunit ribosomal RNA", at positions 28 to 351 of the family's 1533-position model. The record is from RNAcentral. Lineage: Bacteria; Pseudomonadati; Chlorobiota.
GACGAACGCUGGCGGCGUGCCUAACACAUGCAAGUCUUGGGAGAAAGAGGUAGCAAUAUCUUGAGUAAACCGGCGCAAGGGUGAGUAACACGUAGGUAAUCUACCCAAAGGACGGGAAUAACUUCGAGAAAUCGAGGCUAAUGCCCGAUGAUGUUCCGAUACAGCAUUGCAACGGAAUGAAAUACCGAAAGGUGCCUGUGGAUGAGCCUGCGUCCCAUUAGGUAGUUGGUGAGGUAACGGCUCACCAAGCCGACGAUGGGUAGCUGGUCUGAGAGGACGAUCAGCCACACUGGAACUGAGACACGGUCCAGACUCCUACGGGAGGCAG